ACGGGUGAGUAACGCGUAGAUAAUCUGCCUUAGACUCUGGGAUAACAUCUCGAAAGGGGUGCUAAUACCGGAUAAGCCCACGAUGGCGUAAGUCGUUGCGGGAAAAGGGGGCCUCUGCAUAUGCUCUUGAUCUAAGAUGAGUCUGCGUACCAUUAGCUAGUUGGUAGGGUAAGAGCCUACCAAGGCGACGAUGGUUAGCUGGUCUGAGAGGAUGAUCAGCCACACUGGAACUGAGACACGGUCCAGACUCCUACGGGAGGCAGCAGUGGGGAAUUUUGCGCAAUGGGGGAAACCCUGACGCAGCAACGCCGCGUGAGUGAUGAAGGCUUUCGGGUCGUAAAGCUCUGUCUAGAGGGAAGAAAUGAUAUUCGGUUAAUACCCGGAUUUCUUGACGGUACCUCUGAAGGAAGCACCGGCUAACUCCGUGCCAGCAGCCGCGGUAAUACGGAGGGUGCGAGCGUUGUUCGGAUUUAUUGGGCGUAAAGCGCGUGUAGGCGGUUUGUUAAGUCUGAUGUGAAAGCCCUGGGCUCAACCUGGGAAGUGCAUUGGAAACUGGCAGACUUGAAUACGGGAGAGGGUAGUGG
RNAcentral lists this ribosomal RNA (584 nucleotides) under uncultured bacterium. Its description in RNAcentral is "bacterial SSU rRNA". It matches the Rfam family "Bacterial small subunit ribosomal RNA", at positions 102 to 664 of the family's 1533-position model. The record is from RNAcentral.